Non-coding RNA from Cricetulus griseus (Chinese hamster), 1556 nucleotides. The record is from RefSeq and is a predicted model, not a curated record. NCBI's taxonomy places the organism in Eukaryota, Metazoa, Chordata, Mammalia, Rodentia, Cricetidae.
GAGUGGUGAUGGGUGUGUGUGUGGGGGCGGGGGGUGGUGACCCUGACGGCAAAGGCAAGGGCAGAGGACUAAUUUGGGAGAACUCGGUUAUACUUCAUACGCUCUCAGGCUUUGUCGACGUAAAGUUCAAGGGGUGUUUCCCGUUAGAAUUGUCCCGUCUAAUGGCCAACGGAUACUAUCUGGGUCUGGCAUAACAAUGAGUUCUGCGGGUCCUGUUUUGCAUUUAUCACGGCUCAGGGGUAGAGCACUUCCCAGCAUUCACUAAGUCCCUGGGUUCAGUCCCGAAUACCGGAAGAACAAAGCAACAGCCACAAAAUGUGACCCCUCAGGGUCACAGGCCCUUAAUCCAGUAUUUGGGAGGCAGAGGCAGGUGGUGGAUAUGUGACUUCAAGGCUAACCCGGUCUACAAGGUGAAUUCUGGCUCCUGCCUCCAGGAUCCUGCCCUGUUUGAGUUCCUGGCCUGACUUCAAUGAUGAACAGCAAUGCUGAUGUGUAAGCCAAUUAAACCCUUUCCUAACCAACUUGUGUUUCGUUGCAGCAGUAGAAUCCCUAAUUAAGACAAUGAGAUACAAGAGGGCAGGGAUUUUCUCCUGUUUACUAGUGUGGUGUGUGCUUUCUUUUUUCUUCCUCCUUCCCUAUAUCUCUCUCUCCUCCCCUCUCUUUCUUUCUUGACAUGGUCUCACUAUUUAAUAUUGGUUAGUCUAAACUUGCUAGGUAGACCAGGCUAGCCUUGAAAAUACAGAUACCCUCCUUCCUGAGCCUCCCAAGUGCUAGGGUUAAAGGGAUAUGCCAUGACAUUUGAACAGUGCCAUAUUUUCAUUGUGUAACAGUGCCAGCUACAGAGGUGCUCAAAACAUUUGUUGACAUAGUGAUUCCCGUGGAAACCCACAGAAUUCGCUGAGGAGUGGAUGAGGUGUCCACCUCACUUCCAAGCUGCUGGUGCAGCUCUGAGUGCUCUUGGUAACUAGAAGAGGCCUGGUAUCUCACAGAGCUCCUUCAUUGUGUUCUUUUUAAAUUGCCUUAGCCUCUCCUAAAACAGUCUAUUCCUCCAGAAAAAAGUCUGUGAAUUUUAUUAUAUAUAGGACCUUCUUGGUUCAAGUGAACAUAAAACCCCAUCUAAACUGGUUGGGAGGAAGAGACUAUACUGACUUACAGAAGUAGACUGGCCUCAGGCUGCAUCUGGGGUUUACCAGAUGAUGCCUGUACUCUCGGGCUUUGUUCUCAGAUAGGAUGUCGCUCAAGGAGUUCUGUUUGUAACUGUCACCUUACAAUGAAUGUUACAUUUCUAGGACCAAAGGAGUCACUCUCAACCCACAAGUUCUAGCAAACAUCCCUGGGAUCUGGGUUGAGUUGUACACGUGGUUCAGAGCUACUGUUUGUGACCCAAGGAUGGACUAAGCAAGUCAGUUUGAGCAUGGACCCCAUGCCCUCUCUCCCUCAAAGCUGGAAGGAAAUGUUCGUCCUACUGCAAAGCCUGCUCAAAGUGAUUUAGAAUAGCUCCCCCUCAGUAACACUGGAGUGCUGAUACAAAAAUAAAGGCAUGUGAUCAUUGGGCA